This 467-nucleotide ribosomal RNA is filed under the name uncultured bacterium. RNAcentral's name for it is "partial 16S ribosomal RNA". It matches the Rfam family "Bacterial small subunit ribosomal RNA", at positions 28 to 507 of the family's 1533-position model. The record is from RNAcentral.
GAUGAACGCUGGCGGCGUGCUUAACACAUGCAAGUCGAACGGAAAGGCCCCUGCUUGCAGGGGUACUCGAGUGGCGAACGGGUGAGUAACACGUGGGUAAUCUGCCCUGUACUUCGGGAUAAGCUUGGGAAACUGGGUCUAAUACCGGAUAGGACCACAUUUUGGAUGGUGUGGUGGAAAGUUUUUCGGCGUGGGAGGAGCUCGCGGCCUAUUAGCUUGUUGGUGGGGUGAUGGUGUACCAAGAGGUCGUCGGGUGGCCGGCCUAAGAGGGUGUACGGCCACAUAUGGAGUAGGAUACAGGGCAGAGUCCUACGGGGGGCGGCAGUGGGGAAUAUUGCGCAAAAGGGGCAAGCGUGUUGUAGAGACGCCGCGUGGGGGGGGAGGGCCUUCGGGUUAUAAACUCCUUUCGCGAGGGAGGAAGCGUUUUUGUGACGGUACCUGGAGAAGAAGCACCGGCUAACUACGUG